RNAcentral lists this ribosomal RNA (452 nucleotides) under uncultured bacterium. RNAcentral's name for it is "bacterial SSU rRNA". It matches the Rfam family "Bacterial small subunit ribosomal RNA", at positions 340 to 786 of the family's 1533-position model. The record is from RNAcentral.
UACGGGAGGCAGCAGUGGGGAAUAUUGCACAAUGGGCGCAAGCCUGAUGCAGCCAUGCCGCGUGUAUGAAGAAGGCCUUCGGGUUGUAAAGUACUUUCAGUCGUGAGGAAGGUGUUAAGGUUAAUAACCUUAGCAAUUGACGUUAGCGACAGAAGAAGCACCGGCUAACUCCGUGCCAGCAGCCGCGGUAAUACGGAGGGUGCGAGCGUUAAUCGGAAUUACUGGGCGUAAAGGGCACGCAGGCGGUUAAUUAAGUUGGAUGUGAAUCCCCGGGCUUAACCUGGGAAUGGCAUUCAAGACUGGUUAGCUAGAGUCUUGUAGAGGGGGUAGAAUUCCAUGUGUAGCGGUGAAAUGCGUAGAGAUGUGGAGGAAUACCGGUGGCGAAGGCGGCCCCUGGACAAAGGCUGACGCUCAUGUGCGAAAGCGUGGGGAGCAAACAGGGAUUAGAUACC